Molecule: unclassified non-coding RNA, 271 nt
Filed under: Hevea brasiliensis (rubber tree)
Lineage: Eukaryota; Viridiplantae; Streptophyta; Magnoliopsida; Malpighiales; Euphorbiaceae
Source: RNAcentral
GAAAGAGUUGUAGGUGGGGCAAUGCAAGCCAUCAGGUACAAGCAUAAAUUUUCCUAGAAAAUUUGGAGUUAUUAGCCUGUCAUUAAAGGGAGAUGUUUCUAGGAAAGUAGAGGUGGAAACCUGAAGGUCCUUUCGAGGCUAUUUUUCUUCUCUUUUCAUUGAGCCAUGCAGCAAUAUCAUUUCCAUGUUCAAAUACUUCUAAGAUUGGCUAAAUGAGUUUAAUUAAUGAGCACCUUCUUUUUCAUAAUAGAUCUCAUCAAGCAUGUAUAUA